Molecule: ribosomal RNA, 357 nt
Filed under: Haptophyta environmental samples
Lineage: Eukaryota; Haptophyta
Description: SSU rRNA
Rfam family: Eukaryotic small subunit ribosomal RNA
Source: RNAcentral
UAGCGUAUAUUAAAGUUGUUGCAGUUAGAACGCUCGUAGUCGGAUUUCGGGGCGGGUCGACCGGUCUGCCGAUGGGUACGCACUGGCCGACGCGUCCUUCCUUCCGGAGACCGUCUCACUCUUAACUGAGCGGAGGCGGGAGACGGAACGUUUACUUUGAAAAAAUCAGAGUGUUUCAAGCAGGCAGCUCGCUCUUGCAUGGAUUAGCAUGGGAUAAUGAAAUAGGACUUUGGUGCUAUUUUGUUGGUUUCGAACACCGAAGUAAUGAUGAGAAGGGACAGUCAGGGGCACUCGUAUUCCGCCGAGAGAGGUGAAAUUCUCAGACCAGCGGAAGACGAACCACUGCGAAAGCAUUUG